Molecule: long non-coding RNA, 733 nt
Organism: Tympanuchus pallidicinctus (lesser prairie-chicken)
Lineage: Eukaryota; Metazoa; Chordata; Aves; Galliformes; Phasianidae
Exons: 3
Source: RefSeq, a predicted model, not a curated record
CUUAAUAAAGGCUUUCUGGUUUUGGCAUGCAAGCAGGAGAGCAAGCAAGAAAGGAAGCAGCUUGAGUUACUUGAAAUGCUGAGGUGGAGGCGUUUGAGAAGCUGUGAAGAGAGAGGUGUUUUAUGAGCCUGAAUGGAGAGCAGUUACAGAAAUUCUGAUGGGCCUGCUGAAGUAGCUAUUAAAAGUGGUUGCUAAACCCUAAUUUUCCAUUUUUGCCAUUGGUAGAGAAGAUGGUACAGAACAUAGUCAACAAAACACAGAUCCAUACGCACUGCCCCAAGAAGCCUAGCCACGGGAUUUUUCUACUGACGUUCAUGGGGUUUGGCCUGAAAGAUAGCACAAUAGCUACUACUUUCACCAGAAGAUGUAAAGGGUAAAAUAACUCACUGAAAAUUAGACAGAAGUAUCGCUUUAAGAAACAGCCAAAUAAGCCCAGGUACCCUCAAGCUUACCCUCCUUUAUGAAAUAAUUUAACUAAAUCUGAAGUGGAAUUCCACCUCAAAAUGCUGCAGAAUAUAUAUGCUCAAAAUUCUGGACUUACGGAGAGGAUACUUCCCAUCUCAGAGAAUAUAUCUUACUACUAAAAAAGUUUACUUUAGGAAUACUCCAUGGGGUUCCUGGCAGAGCUGCUCUGCCACAACAGUUUAUAUCAACCAUCUGUGGUGUGCCAGAAGCUUCCUGAAUGUUCUGCCACCUGACUCAAAAUUCUGAAGAUUUUCAUGCUCUUCUGCCA